UACGGAGGGGGCUAGCGUUGUUCGGAAUUACUGGGCGUAAAGCGCACGUAGGCGGCUUCGUAAGUUAGAGGUGAAAGCCCAGGGCUCAACCCUGGAAUUGCCUUUAAGACUGCAUCGCUAGAAUUGUGGAGAGGUAAGUGGAAUUCCGAGUGUAGAGGUGAAAUUCGUAGAUAUUCGGAAGAACACCAGUGGCGAAGGCGACUUACUGGACACAUAUUGACGCUGAGGUGCGAAAGCGUGGGGAGCAAACAGG
This 253-nucleotide ribosomal RNA is filed under the name uncultured bacterium. RNAcentral describes it as "partial 16S ribosomal RNA". It matches the Rfam family "Bacterial small subunit ribosomal RNA", at positions 524 to 776 of the family's 1533-position model. The record is from RNAcentral.